GUUAAUGUAGCUUAANCCAUAAAGCAAAGCACUGAAAAUGCUUAGAUGGGUACUCAACCANUACCCCAUAAACA
This 74-nucleotide transfer RNA is filed under the name Tamiops mcclellandii mcclellandii. RNAcentral describes it as "tRNA-Phe". It matches the Rfam family "tRNA". From Rfam's summary of the family: Transfer RNA (tRNA) molecules are approximately 80 nucleotides in length. Lineage: Eukaryota; Metazoa; Chordata; Mammalia; Rodentia; Sciuridae. The record is from RNAcentral.